Molecule: ribosomal RNA, 468 nt
Filed under: uncultured bacterium
Lineage: Bacteria
Description: partial 16S ribosomal RNA
Rfam family: Bacterial small subunit ribosomal RNA
Source: RNAcentral
GAUGAACGCUGGCGGCGUGCUUAACACAUGCAAGUCGAACGGAAAGGCCCUGCUCUUGUGGGGUGCUCGAGUGGCGAACGGGUGAGUAACACGUGAGUAACCUGCCCUUGACUUUGGGAUAACGUUAGGAAACUGGGGCUAAUACCGGAUAGGAGCUCCUGCUGCAUGGUGGGGGCUGGAAAGUUUCGGCGGUUGGGGAUGGACUCGCGGCUUAUAAGCUUGUUGGUGGGGUAGUGGCUUACCAAGGCUUUGACGGGUAGCCGGCCUGAGAGGGGGACCGGCCACCUUGGUGCUGCGGUACGGCCCAGCCUCCUACGGGAGGCAGCAGUGGGGAAUAUUUCACAAUGGGCGGAAGCCUGAUGCAGCAGCGCCGCGUGCGGGAUGACGGCCUUCGGGUUGUAAACCGCUUUCUCCUGUGACGAAGCGUGAGUGACGGUAAUGGGUAAAGAAGCACCGGCUAACUACGUG